UACAGAGGGUGCAAGCGUUGUUCGGAAUUAUUGGGCGUAAAGGGUGCGUAGGCGGUUUGGUAAGUCUUAUGUGAAAUCUACAGGCUCAACUUGUAGUCUGCAUGAGAAACUGCCGGGCUUGAGUAUGGGAGAGGUGAGUGGAAUUCCUGGUGUAGCGGUGAAAUGCGUAGAUAUCAGGAGGAACACCUGUGGCGAAAGCGGCUCACUGGACCAUAACUGACGCUGAUGCAUGAAAGCUAGGGGAGCAAACAGG
Molecule: ribosomal RNA, 253 nt
Filed under: uncultured bacterium
Lineage: Bacteria
Description: partial 16S ribosomal RNA
Rfam family: Bacterial small subunit ribosomal RNA
Source: RNAcentral